This 514-nucleotide long non-coding RNA is filed under the name Pelobates cultripes (western spadefoot toad). Lineage: Eukaryota; Metazoa; Chordata; Amphibia; Anura; Pelobatidae. The record is from RNAcentral.
CCAAUAUCAUCAACGCAGUAAACGGCUACCAUCUACCCUACACACUGGCACUUACAUGGCAUAAAUUGGGCAAUCCUUUCCCCGCUCAACUUUCGAGCUACAGAUUAGCCUACUAUCGAUAUUCGCAGAUACUCUGUGCUGGUUAUGAUAACAUAUCCAGAGGCCUUACAGUAAUACACUAUCUAGAAGACUUCUUGUUAAUCAAAGAAAGCAUAUUUUUCACUAGAAGCCUCACGGCAGCUUAGUCUGGUUGACCACUUGGGCGUCCCAGUACCCCAUAAGAAACAGAAGGCCCAGACACUAUCUUCACAUUACUGGGCAUAUGACUUGAGUCGGCAUCCAUACAUGCAAGUUACCACAAGACAAAUAGGGAACAUUCUCAACUACAUCAAUCACUGCCUCCUGCUUAGUACUUACAACUGCAAGGAACUACGAUCCCUACCAGGUUCCUUAAUUUUGCCAUGCUUUCACAUCCAGAGUACUUUCCCCUUUUUUCCACACUUCCAACAUGACG